GAAAGACUCUCGGCAACGGAUAUCUCGGCUCUUGCAUCGAUGAAGAACGUAGCGAAAUGCGAUACUUGGUGUGAAUUGCAGAAUCCCGUGAACCAUCGAGUCUUUGAACGCAAGUUGCGCCCGAAGCCAUUAGGCCGAGGGCACGCCUGCCUGGGUGUUGCACAUCGUUGCCCU
This 174-nucleotide ribosomal RNA is filed under the name Melolobium candicans. RNAcentral's name for it is "5.8S ribosomal RNA". The stretch from base 5 to 160 matches the Rfam family "5.8S ribosomal RNA". Rfam says of the family: 5.8S ribosomal RNA (5.8S rRNA) is a component of the large subunit of the eukaryotic ribosome. The record is from RNAcentral. RNAcentral also lists the same sequence under 3 other names. Lineage: Eukaryota; Viridiplantae; Streptophyta; Magnoliopsida; Fabales; Fabaceae.